GUCGAGGGUGGCGGCAAGGCCCGGUAGCGCGGCGUGCAGCCGUGCGCGGUCUUCGGGCGGGACGAGCGACAGUUCAUGCCCGAAGGGGGCGGGGGACGCCAUGGCCUGUUCGCCCAGCGCGGUACGCAUGCCCGACAGCAGCGCGUUGAACGCCUGCACCUGCCCGAAGGCGGCGUCGGCGGCGAAGCCCCGUGCGGGGUCGCCCAGCCGUUGCGUCACCGCCGAGAGGCUGCGCAUGUCGGGCGCAUCCAGACGGGCGGCGAGGGCGGCACGGGCUGUGGCGUCGCCAUCCAGACCCGCAAGGGCGAAGGCCAUGCCCCCGCACUGCUGCAACAGCCUGCCACGGGCCUCGGCGACGGUGGGGGCCGCGCCAGCUUCGCCCGCUUCACCCGGUGCCCCCAAUGCCCGGUGCGCGGGCAGCGCAGCAAGGCGCUG
RNAcentral lists this unclassified non-coding RNA (435 nucleotides) under Nitratidesulfovibrio vulgaris str. Hildenborough. Its description in RNAcentral is "Desulfovibrio vulgaris str. Hildenborough RNase P, RNA component". Lineage: Bacteria; Pseudomonadati; Thermodesulfobacteriota; Desulfovibrionia; Desulfovibrionales; Desulfovibrionaceae. The record is from RNAcentral.